Achroia grisella is the source of this 673-nucleotide long non-coding RNA. RefSeq lists it as uncharacterized. The transcript has 3 exons. Lineage: Eukaryota; Metazoa; Arthropoda; Insecta; Lepidoptera; Pyralidae. The record is from RefSeq and is a predicted model, not a curated record.
CGUAGCUACGAGUACAUCUCUACCCAAAUAUCUGCACAAACCAGCCCGAGUGUGUUGCCGUGGGAACAAUACCGUAAUAUCAUUUAAAUCCUCUCUGUCCUACAAAUCUUUGUGAAGCUUUCGAAAUGAUUGAAUUUUUACGCAGCCUAAAGGAUUUUCGUUCAAAUUUCGUAUUUCUAUUUAUCUGUUGUGGUCAAUGAAAUGGCGACAAAUGUUUCCAUGUUACGUACGUCACCUGCUCACUUUAAACGAAAAUGUUUAUAUGUUAUGGGUAUUUGAUUUUAUUGGGGAGUUUAAAUGUAAACAGCGACAUGGAUAUAACAUUGACUACAGCUACAAUACGUGACUAUACAUCACCAAAACCAUCGACAAUAGUCCGGAGACUCAAUGUGGAGUGGAAAGAGAUGGAAAGUAAAGAGAAAAAUAAAAUGGAUGUCUUACGAAAUCUGUUUCUACUGCAGAAUGUGGAAUUACGAAGGAGUCGUAAUGAUGUGUGGAACUGGGAUUAUUGGUGUCAACUGCAACCCAAAAAAGGCAAUUGCCCCGGAGACAUGCAGAAGUUUGUAUUAAUUUACAUUUUCUGUAAUAAGGAGAAAAUUUGAAGUAGCUAUUUAUCCAGUUUCAGCGUUGCUGUAGAGAGUAUUUAAUAAGCCUGGGACGAAUCCAGAGUGGC